This is an RNA transcript of Nematostella vectensis (starlet sea anemone), 8698 nucleotides long. RefSeq lists it as uncharacterized. The record is from RefSeq and is a predicted model, not a curated record. The transcript has 2 exons. Lineage: Eukaryota; Metazoa; Cnidaria; Anthozoa; Actiniaria; Edwardsiidae.
AGUAGCAACAAGUGAAAGACGUUUUGAAAGAGCGAGUAAACACGGGAACAGACAGCCGCGUGAAGAUGAGAACGGCAAUCGUACCGAAGGGCGCAGAGGCCGUAAGAAAUACCAAACGAUCCAGAAUGCCAGGUAAAGACGAGGAUGGGGAGCCAAAAAAGGAGUUGUGGCUCCCACCAGUAGGAACUGCUGAGCCGGUGUCUGAGGACAGUGAUCCUUUGGUCAGGAUGCUGCUAGAUGUGGAUGCUAAACAGGAGGCUAUGCUUGAAGACCAUCUGAACCUUGCGAGCCGUGUAGGGCUUCACACCUGCUCAGACUAUUUUCUUUGUAAACCUUGCCAUGCUGAGCCUGGUAUGCAGCCUGGAGAGCGCAUCUGCCGUAUGGAGUUCGGCUCAGAAUAUCACCGUGGCAAACAGAGAAGAGAAAAUCCAGACAUUGUUACAGAUCGUAAUUGGGCUGAUCGCCUAGAGGUGGCAAGAGAUCACCCAAGAGUUGUACGGUACUCAAGGUAUAACCUGCAGUCCUGGAGAGCGAACUGCGUGAUAUUUUCUCACCGCCCGACAACCCAAGCACUGAUGACAUCAUAGCCACAUAUGUGCCUAUGCAUGCAAAGAAAAUGAGCCAACAGGAGCAACUAAAGACCGCUUCAAAAACGGUAAAUGCAGUUGAUUCUGCAGAUGAAGUGUCUGGUAGAUCUGUUUGUUCAAAGAUGGUGAUGAAGACUGUUGGUAGGAGAGAUGUUAGUGGACCAAAGGACUCAUUCGAACUCAGUGGCCUUGCUCUUUGGCGAUCCACUUGUCGCUUCUCAUAUCUGUUGUGAAGGGUUCCGGCCGUCUUGAGAGAAAUGGGGACACAGCUACAUCCAGCACAGCUUUAGACAAGUAUCUUGCUAGACCACGUGAUGAGUGUUUGCUCCUGGUACAAGUUCGCAUGCAAGAAUGGAAAAGUCCCAGUUGUUAGUGGUGGCUCCGCCCAUGCUACACGGCAACUCCAGGAGUACUUUUGCAGAACCAUGAUGCUACUUCACUGGGCAAAUUGGUUCAGCCUAGAUGAGUUGAAGUUCGCAGAUGAUACCUGGAAAUAUGCAUUUCCGAAGUUCGUUACCACAGACCCGUGCCCUAUGCUUGUGAAAGCUCUUGUAGUGAAGCCGUCACGGCAAGCUGAAGGUGCAACAGAGCAGGCAUAUUAGUCUGAUGGUGAAGGUGACUGGGUUGACGUAUACGCUGGCCCAAACCAGAUGUACGAGGGUGUUGAAGAGUUCUAGUAUGAUGAUGGAGGUGAGGUGUGACUGGAGCAGUAGUACGGUAGCAAAUCCAGAAAACGCUGAUCCCAAGGUCGGCUUGACAAACAAAUCGAAGAAGAUGAAAAAUUAGAGAAUGGAAUACUUAUGCUACCAGAUGUGUCACCUCAAACGCUGGAUGAAGAGCAGAGAUCAAUGGUGAGCCUCAUACUGCUAACUCUGAAGAGGUAUUUUGAUAAAGCAGAUGAUUACGUUCCCUUGGGGGUAGUGGGGUCAGCCACUGGAGGCACAGACAAAUACUACAUAAUCAAGUGCAUCCAAAGACAGGUAUUUGGCAAGCAUAAUGCCGUGCAGGUUGUGAUGCUGUCGAUACCGACUGGCGGGAGAUCAUGCAAUGAGCUUACAGUGCCAGCUGGUAAUGUACUGAGGAAGUUGCAGGACAAGUGUAAGAGCCUGGCUGCCCUUAUUGGAGAUGAGCGAUCCAUGGUUGGACGAACGAUGCUAGGCUGGAUGGAGCAGCACAUGAGGUAUAAACCCAAGUAAAUAAUCAAUUAUUAUGAUGAGUAUAUUAUUUCUCAAGCUUCCUGCUAACACGAAUUUACUCCUUGUUCCUUUGAGACAUUUUCAGUCAUUUUUGUUUUUAUUUCCCUUGAGUUUCAACAGGAUUCCAAUCUGUUACCUCUGUUAUCCCUUAUUUUAUCAAAACUCGACAAUAAUGACAUUGUUAUUUAUCCAACUCAUGAAUAGUUAAUCAAGCGCUUACAGCGUGUACAGAUCGCCCCCGCUGGGUUUGUAGUGCGAAAGUUUGCUGACCUACAGAAUAUUAUUAAAUAAGGUUGCCUUAUUUAAUAAGGUUGGCUUCCAAUUAAGGAACGGCAAGAAUAUCAAAUGGCCAAUGCUGUUACUAGUGAUUUAUGGCCAAAGCAUGUGUAGCUAGAACGUUAUAUUCCCAAUAGAACGCUCCCUCUAGUAGUGAGUUUAGAUUAACCACAUCCUAUGCCCCAGGCACCUUUAGAUAUCAAGGCUGUUCAACAACCUACCAUCACAGUCAGGUCCAGCAGGGACAAACAUGACUAUUUUCGCCAUUCAUGUAAAGCGCACUUUGUAGCGCAAGCAAGGACCAGACUGGUACAUCAAUAAUUUAUUCCUUUAAUCGACAUCUUUCUGCUGAUAUAUAGUAGUCAUAAGCAUAUAGUAGAUUUUUAUUAUAUAAAUUUUAUAUAUAUUAUAGUAUUUUCAUUGUAACAUAGAAGAGCCAAUUUUCCAUUAUCAUUAUCAUUACCAUUACCAUUAUCAUUUCAUUACUUUUUCAUUAUGUUAUCAUAUCAUUAUCAUAUCAUUAUCUUAUCGUUAUCUUAUCACUAUCACUAUUAUUAUUAUUAGUGUUUCUUGAGCCAUACGGGAAAAUAGGGCGUGACUUUAUAGAUCAAGUUACACUGCACAUCAAUAAUUGGAAUAGUGGCUGUGUUGAGCAACACGUAUCGCUGAAGGCUGCAUUUGUUCUUCUGACCUUGGGCCUUCAAAAGCCAGGUCCUAAGUCAAAGACAAAAGAUUAUGUGGAUGCAUUGUCUAAGCGCCUUGCCCUCUGGAAAGAGAGGGAAAUCAGUAAACUACUACGAGAAGGGAGAGUUAAUCAAGGUCGCAUCGGAGUUUUUGCAAAGUUUUUGCAAAGCUCGUUCUCGAGGUUAGAUCAAUGCAGCAUUUCGUUUUGUGAGUGAGACAUCUAGUGGUGGCGUGCUAGGCCUGACGGAUGACGUAAUGACACAACUCAAGGAAAAACAUUCAGAUCCACAACCAGCAAAAUUGAGCUCACUGGUUUUUGGGCCAAUCGACGGUGCCCUCAAGCUGCGUUGAGAACUAAGGGAUCAGGGGGUCCAUCGGGAUAUAAUGCGAACGGUUUUAGAAGAAUGCUGGCUAGCAAAUCUUUCAAACAGUCAUCUUCAAGAUUGUGUGAUGCGAUAGCAACUAUGACGAGGAUUCUGUGUACACAGUUUAUCGAUCCAAGUACCAUUUAAGCAAUAGUGGCAAGCCGGUUAAUACCCCUCGAUAAAGGCGAAUGAGCAGUCAGACCUAUAGGAGUUGGUGAGGUGAUCCGGCACAUCAUAGGAAAGUGCGUAAUGAACAUCGCCAUGAAGAAUGUUGCAGAGGCAAGCGGGUCUCUCCAGCUAUGUGCAGGACAGAAAUCCGGGAGUGAAUACGCCAUACAUGCCAUCUUUGAGAGUGACGAAACCGAUGCAGUGCUGCUAAUUGAUGCGUCUAAUGCAUUCAAUUCACUCAAUCGAGCAGCGUCACCGCACAACAUCCGGGUUCUAUGUCCAUUCGUCGCCGUCUAUGCAAUCAACACCUAUAGACUGCCGUCACGUUUGUUUAUCACUGGGGGCCAGGAGAUUGUGUCAACUGAAGGAACAACACAGGGUGACCCCCUCGCAAUGGGUCUAUAUGCCUUAAGUAUGCAACCCUUAAUUACCAGCUUUCAGGGGGCAUGUAACAUCAAGCAGUGCUGGUUUGCGGAUGAUGCCAGUGGAGCCGGCUCUGUUUCAGAAAUUAAGAGGUGGUGGGACACGAUGACCGUGCUUCGUCCGGACUUCGGUUACUACCCAAACGCAAAGAAAUGCUGGAUUAUAACAAAGCCAGACAAGGAGAGUAUCGUGAAGGAUGCGUUCAAGGAAACAGAUGAGAGAGUCACAACAAGGGCAGAAACAUCUGGGAGCUGCGAUAGGUUCACGAGAAUAUAUGGAGGACUAUGUGAGUGAUAAAGUGUCCAACUGGGUCAGUGAAGUGACAAGACUAGCCGAGUUUGCUGCGGUUCAGCCCCAAGAGUGCUAUGCUGCUUACACAUUUGGCUUAAAACAUCGUUGAACGUAUUUCCGCAGAACCCUCCCAGAUAUUCAGGGCCUGCUUAAGCCACUAGAGAAUGCAAUAUUACGUGUUCUUAUUCCCGCUUUAACGGAUCGGCAAUGUAGCCAGUUGGACAGAGAAAUACUAACGUUACCAGUACGCUUGGGAGGAUUAGGUCUGGAGAACCCGUGUGAAGAUGCACAUCGUGAAUAUACAUCAUCAGUCAAAGUAACCACGCCCCUUGUUGCACAGAUUGUGUCACAAACACAUCAGCUACCUGAGAGAAGGACGAACAAAAGAUCUUGAAAAGAAGGCGAAUAGUAUAAAGGAGGCCGCGCCUCAGAAGACUCGGCGCGCACUAGAGUUGGCCACAGAAAAAGGAUCUUCGAUGUGGCUGACAGUGCUGCCUCUUGAGAGUUGGGCUUUAAUCUCAACAAAGGGCAAUUCAAGGACGGAAUCAAGCUGCGCUAUCAUGAGGUCAUGCAGGGUUGUACGGACGGCUACAGGAGGAAAUUCAAAACUCACAUAAUAUUGCUUUCAACAAAAGAGAAAUAUUUUAACUAGUAAAAGGGUUGUUCGAGUACGAAUUUGUAGGAAUUACUUUCGGAUUGUGCAACGCGCCAGCGACUAUCAUGCGAUUGAUUGACAAUUCAUUCGGAAAUCUGAAUUUCCAGUCCUUGUUCAUUUAUCUGGACGAUAUCUUAGUCUUCAAAAGCACCUCUGAAGAAACCUUUUUCAAAACCUGAAGAUGAAACCUUAAAAGUGUCAAAAGUUGUUCAAGACAAAGGCUCAGACAGGUGACAGGUGCUCGCGUGAUAUCGAGUUAAGAAACCAAAUCCAGAGAAGAUUCGUGCAACAUUUCAUUUCUAUUCUGGUACGAAUGCCGACCAAGAAAGAAAUAUCUAGGAAUGUGACCAUGUGAGUUUAUAUUUUAAACCGGCAGCCCGCACUCACAAAAAUGUAACAAAUUUUUCAAUAACCAAGGUGACUGUAGCAACUGUUUCAAUAACAAUCUUUACACUGUAACAAACAUUGCCAUAAGAAUGAUUAUUAAAGGCUUUUCUUUCCCAUAUUUUUUUAAAUGAAGAAAGCUAUUUUUGUCCAAACCUGGCCAUCACGUUCAUAAUUAACAUUUGCAAGUCCUGUGCUUGUUUAGCUUGCUGAGCUCGACUUUGCAUCAACAUUUGCAUCAUAACACUAUAUCUCUUUUCUUGUAAUUCCAACUGUUUCUUUUUUAACUUCAUUUCCUCCAUUCGAGAUUCAUGCUUUCCCCUUUAUCAAAGCAACGCAAUGGCGAACCCGUGGAAUUUUUAGGCUAGGUCGAAGACGCCAGCCUCAUAAAAAGGGCUGAUUUCACAAAUCGAUUCCUCUAUGGAAUCGAAGGCAAAUCGAUUAAUCAAAGGCAAGCCGGUCACGAGCGAAAAUUGCCGAGAGUUAGCAACGAUUAAACGGCUUUGCAACGAAAACCUCCGAACUUUUUUCGUUUUGUUUUCGUGGCUAGGCGAAUGGCUAUUGGUAGAGUUCGGAGUUUUAAGUCGGAACACGUGCUAAAUUUCUGAUGAGCUUGCUGUCCUGUUUGCUUCGUGCUGGGGCCUGCGAAGAGGAAGGUCGAGUAAAAGAGAGUGGAAGAAGUUUCAUACAAAUAUAAGGUAAGAUAUUGCUCACGUGCUAAUUAACACAGACAAUAAAGCCUAGUUGCAUUGGACUAUUGCACCAGUAGAUCUUUUGCACGAAAUAAUCCAACGUCACUGCCGACUUAUCUCGAAGUUUUUGAAUCAGAGCAGGGAAGUGUUGUUUGCGAAGCCGAAGCGAAGGUUUUCUCUCAAGGUGUUCCCAAGUCCAUCGUUUUUUACUUUGAAUUGGUUUUAAGUGGUAUUUGAUAGCAUUCUAACUGCAUUCUCUCUCAUACAUUGGCUGGUGGAUCCAGAAUAACAAUAAUAAUAGCGUAAAAACACUAUUGAACCUAACUUGUUUUUUUAUGUGUCAGCCAUUAAUUCUUUCUGCGUACUGCUGAAGUGAAGUUGGCAUAUCACUUGUUGGCUUCAAACCUUUCAUCUAAAAGCCAAAUGCACCUAAGCCGUGCAUCAGUUAUCAAAGCAAAUCGUGCACAAACCAAUCUGAACCAUCUUGGCGAAAUAAAAAACAAGCUAUUCGACCACGAAAGCAUUAGUUAAAUUAAGCAAUACACUUACAGACAGAACAAGCCGAAGGCUGAUGUCAACCUGGUCGAACCUAAGCCAAAGAGUUGCUAAAUCAAAAACAAACCAACCUCUCAUAAAACCUUGAAACUGUGUUGCAAAGACCACAAAACAAUUCCACCUCUGAAAAAACUCUCAAAAUGCAAUGACUAUUGCAAAUCACUUCCAAAGGCAAAAAAGACGGAAAACGAUCAGUGCAUUGACAAUGACAAGUCGAGUGUCUUCAGCAUUCAUGGCAACACAGAAAAGAAAAAUACCAGAAGUCCGUAAACAUGCAAGAGAUGUCGCUUAUCUUUUUUCUCAUCAUCAGUUUCACAAUAUUUGGAUUUAUGUCUCUUUUCUGCAUAGUUCUGUAUUAGUUACAAUGCUAUUUGUAGUUGUAAGCUUAUAUUAUAUAAUAAAUUGAUAAAUGAUGUUGCACAAUUUAUUGAAGUAACUCUGCAUGUUUUUUUUUUAAAUAACUGACUUAGAUGUUGCUGCAAAAGACAACAAUAAUGCUGGUGUUGCUUCAGAGAUGUAUAGAUCUCGUUAUGUGAAAUUUAUAUUUAGUGAUGGAAAGAGCUGUGGCAACAUUAGAAAGCGUGAUCGAGAGCCAAGUAGAAUCAAUAUGAAUAAGCUUAAUCAGGUUUUCAACAAAAAGAGAAAAAGAAGACAAGCUUUCAGAACAUUCACGAAGAAUAUCCCACAGUCUUCCAAAAUUCAUUUGUUUAUAAAAAGUGCAUUCAUUCGAAAAAGUGCAUUCAUUCCUGUUUUCAACAGGAAUAAAAAUCCAAUGAAACAAACUUUUUUUAAUAACAGCAAGUCACCGAAAAUGUUCCAAAUUUAAGAGUUGCGAGCUGCUAUUGCUAUUGCAGUUAAAGCUUAACAAACAUGACAUUUGCACCAUAUAUGCAUGGAUUUACCACACAUGUAAAAGUUCAUAUUAUUGCAAGUAUUUCAUUUAGUAUUUCAUUUAGACAUAUUUAAAAGUCGAUUCUGACCGCGCGAGCAUAUGGUGGAGUCCAACCAAGUGAAAUGGAUUUCUGGACUCCCAAUUGCCUUUUCCUGGCAUGUGCUACUUUAUAGCAAACAGAUAAGUCCAAGUACCAAGCGGUACUAAACCAACAGUUUUUGGUUGGGUGAUGAUCAAGGCGAGACUGAUCAACCAGAUUGUAACACAAAAAUUUAUUCAACUUGGGCGCCUCCUAACUGCAAACUUGUUCCCGUUAUCCAGGGCAGAACACCAGGCUAUACUAAAUGUGAGGCCAAUCUUCACCAAUACCCAGACAAACAAGUCCAAGAAACAAAGGAUGACAUUUUGUCGUGGGUGCAGGUCUUCUUAGUUUACAUGUUGCCAAGCCCUACUACUCCAGCGAGGGAAUGAUCCACACCGAUAUCUCCUCAUGAUCCUUUGCACCUAUUUUCAGUUUGCCGGGAGAGCGUGGCAUUUUAUGAACAAGUUGUCGCCCUGCAUCUUGAGGACUAGUUGUCAAUCGAAGCCCAGCUCUUCAAUUUCCAUACAUAUGCCUUCCCUUCUCGUGUUUCUCCCCGGCAGGCAAGGGUGGUAUUCUGUAUCUUGUGAAACAAGGGAAAAUGUGUCCCCUGUCCCCUCCAAAUGCCGGUUCCCCAAUACAUUAUUUGUUCUUCUGGGAAACAUAUACCCACUGGGAGUAGCUUUUCACUCUCUUUAACACAAGUAUAUACAUUUUAUCUAAAAGAUCCCAGUAACCUUUGAAAAACUGAAAUCUUUGGCUAACAAAUAAUCAACAAAGACUGAUAUAGAAUCCACUGCAAAUAGAGUGGGAGAAUCCGAGAGAAGGAGGACGAAGGAUAACAAGGGUAAAAUCCUAUCAAGCAACAAAUACAGAGUAACUAAUUAUUGGCAGUCUGAUUUUUUCUCUUCUCUCUAUCGUUUGAUGUUUUAGUUUUGGCUGUUGCUUUGCUCAAGGCAGAAGCAGACGUGACAAAGAAUUUACAAAGGUCUACUUAUUUGUCUUUUAUCUGAUCCAAAAGGCACGAGUAGAUCAGAUGUGAUGUUGUCUGAAUCUUUUUUUUAUCACUAUAACUUAAUCGGUAAGAUAAUUUUUAUAUAAAAACAUUUUUUUACUCUCUUUUAUAUACGAUAGAGUUGUAUAUAAUAAGUUUGACAAGGUCAUUUUCGCGGUCAAAAGAGCUGUAUCUGCCUGGAUCGACAGAAGAGUAUGACUUUAAGAAAAAGCUCAGCAAAUUUAAGCCUUUUCCAAAUAUGUUACCUUUUAAGGCCCAAAGAGCGAGGCCACAAAUAUAAUAGUGUUUACUAGUAUACAGGUGUUCUGAUUAUUAUGUGAAAUGAGCAAUUUUCACAUGACUAUUUGUACCAGCAAGACGAAGAAAUAAAAGUAAAGGGCCGCCUGGAAUUCACUCAAAAUAAUGAUAUAAACAACUGGCAGAUCUCAAUCCAAAA